CUCAGUAUUGUAAACUACAGUUGUCAAAGGCACCUGCGUCUCCCAGCGUUUACCAACAUUUAGAUUUUGUGUUAAAGAAAAAAGAAAAAAAGAAUUCACUGGUAAUCUUCUGAGGAGUUAAACCAGAAGUAGAUCUGGAAAAUAUGUUAACCAGUCUUCAAAAGUAUUUCCGUUCCCGGAAGUCUUCACACCCUUUGUGACUAUGCCUUUUGUGACAUUUCCACACAUGUGACCUUCACACUCACCACGUUGAUUCCAACAGACAAGUCGUGGUCAGGGUUUUAUAGAGAUGGUAAGCAGCUUGGCUAAAGGUUACUACUAUGAAGGCUCAGAGGGGGAGACCGAGUGCUCUCGCUGAAGCGAAUUCAGAGGAGUUACUCAUCUUGUAUGCAUUUCCGUGGAACCUCAUCAUCAGGUUUUCUUAAGAAUUGGCAGUCUCCAUCCACUAAAACACUGAACACUGAAAAGAAACUGGAGUGCACAGAGUGAGACGUCCAUAAGCCUCUGCUUCCCGAGCUCCAGGACCUGAGGCGGCGCCAGGACUGGUCCCCGGGGCCCCAGGCGGGGGGCUGGCCCGGUCCUCCAGUGGGUGGCUGGGAGCUAAGACCCACCUUUUAAAGGAAGGAAAGAGGAUGACUGGAUGACAAGGUCUGUUUUGUCAUGUUUUCUACUUAUAAGUGAAACCACGUUCGGAGAAAAUUUGUGACCGUA
Molecule: long non-coding RNA, 711 nt
Organism: Canis lupus familiaris (dog)
Lineage: Eukaryota; Metazoa; Chordata; Mammalia; Carnivora; Canidae
Exons: 4
Source: RefSeq, a predicted model, not a curated record